This 1677-nucleotide ribosomal RNA is filed under the name Klebsiella quasipneumoniae. Its description in RNAcentral is "23S ribosomal RNA". It matches the Rfam family "Bacterial large subunit ribosomal RNA", at positions 1260 to 2925 of the family's 2925-position model. Lineage: Bacteria; Pseudomonadati; Pseudomonadota; Gammaproteobacteria; Enterobacterales; Enterobacteriaceae. The record is from RNAcentral.
CCUGUGAGGGUUGCUGGAGGUAUCAGAAGUGCGAAUGCUGACAUAAGUAACGAUAAAGCGGGUGAAAAGCCCGCUCGCCGGAAGACCAAGGGUUCCUGUCCAACGUUAAUCGGGGCAGGGUGAGUCGACCCCUAAGGCGAGGCCGAAAGGCGUAGUCGAUGGGAAACAGGUUAAUAUUCCUGUACUUGGUGUUACUGCGAAGGGGGGACGGAGAAGGCUAUGUUAGCCGGGCGACGGUUGUCCCGGUUUAAGCAUGUAGGCUGGUUAUCCAGGCAAAUCCGGAUAAUCAAGGCUGAGGUGUGAUGACGAGGCACUACGGUGCUGAAGUAACAAAUGCCCUGCUUCCAGGAAAAGCCUCUAAGCAUCAGGUAACANAAAUCGUACCCCAAACCGACACAGGUGGUCAGGUAGAGAAUACCAAGGCGCUUGAGAGAACUCGGGUGAAGGAACUAGGCAAAAUGGUGCCGUAACUUCGGGAGAAGGCACGCUGGUGUGUAGGUGAAGUCCCUGCGGAUGGAGCUGAGACCAGUCGAAGAUACCAGCUGGCUGCAACUGUUUAUUAAAAACACAGCACUGUGCAAACACGAAAGUGGACGUAUACGGUGUGACGCCUGCCCGGUGCCGGAAGGUUAAUUGAUGGGGUUAUCCGUAAGGAGAAGCUCUUGAUCGAAGCCCCGGUAAACGGCGGCCGUAACUAUAACGGUCCUAAGGUAGCGAAAUUCCUUGUCGGGUAAGUUCCGACCUGCACGAAUGGCGUAAUGAUGGCCAGGCUGUCUCCACCCGAGACUCAGUGAAAUUGAACUCGCUGUGAAGAUGCAGUGUACCCGCGGCAAGACGGAAAGACCCCGUGAACCUUUACUAUAGCUUGACACUGAACAUUGAGCCUUGAUGUGUAGGAUAGGUGGGAGGCUUUGAAGCGUGGACGCCAGUCUGCGUGGAGCCAACCUUGAAAUACCACCCUUUAAUGUUUGAUGUUCUAACGUUGGCCCCUAAUCGGGGUUGCGGACAGUGUCUGGUGGGUAGUUUGACUGGGGCGGUCUCCUCCCAAAGCGUAACGGAGGAGCACGAAGGUUAGCUAAUCCUGGUCGGACAUCAGGAGGUUAGUGCAAUGGCAUAAGCUAGCUUGACUGCGAGCGUGACGGCGCGAGCAGGUGCGAAAGCAGGUCAUAGUGAUCCGGUGGUUCUGAAUGGAAGGGCCAUCGCUCAACGGAUAAAAGGUACUCCGGGGAUAACAGGCUGAUACCGCCCAAGAGUUCAUAUCGACGGCGGUGUUUGGCACCUCGAUGUCGGCUCAUCACAUCCUGGGGCUGAAGUAGGUCCCAAGGGUAUGGCUGUUCGCCAUUUAAAGUGGUACGCGAGCUGGGUUUAGAACGUCGUGAGACAGUUCGGUCCCUAUCUGCCGUGGGCGCUGGAGAAUUGAGGGGGGCUGCUCCUAGUACGAGAGGACCGGAGUGGACGCAUCACUGGUGUUCGGGUUGUCAUGCCAAUGGCACUGCCCGGUAGCUAAAUGCGGAAGAGAUAAGUGCUGAAAGCAUCUAAGCACGAAACUUGCCCCGAGAUGAGUUCUCCCUGAGACUUUAAGUCUCCUGAAGGAACGUUNGACGUUGAUAGGCCGGGUGUGUAAGCGCAGCGAUGCGUUGAGCUAACCGGUACUAAUGAACCGUGAGGCUUAACCUU